UGUUCUCUGAUACGCUUGGUUACAAGAAACCUGGAUCCUGUAAACAAGUAUACUAUAUAAGGGUCUGUUGUUACAAUAAAGUUGAAGCUGUGCGCACUCACAUUUAGUGGUCGUGCUUCCCCACGCAAGGAGGGCAACCCUUUGGGAAAACUUGGGGCGUUUCCCAACAGUUAAUCUUCAUCUGAAUAAAGAUUCUGUCAUCUUUCAUCUUCGAAGAACCACCGGACCAAUAAUGAACUAAAUCUGUAUGGAUGGUACAGAAUAGCAUAAGAAAAGGACUUAAUACUCAUUUGGGGAAAAAAAUAUGGACUUUCUAAGUAGUAUCUUCUCCCAAGUAUCUUUCCAGUGUUCCGUCAGAAAUUCCUGUCACACAACAGACCAAAGCGAUGCGCCCAAUGACCCCGCCAAAGCUCAAUGGUUUAGCUAGCUCACAAUGACUCUACAGCCAUGUUUUCACUCCAGUGCUUGGGAAGACAUACAGAAGAAGAUACGAGAAAAUCUCUCCAGUGGAAUUUCCUGGUUUUGUCCAGAAGAAAUAUGCAAGUGAAGAACCAAAUGAGAUUACUGAUCAAUAGAUUCUAUGUAUGAUCUCUUUGUCCUAUCCUGUGCUGCAGUAACUCCAGAUUCACCAUGUGACUUUUGAUGUUCUUACUGGGGAAAAGAUCCAACACUGAGGCCAUUUUGGAACCAAGGUGAUUCCAUGGCCAAAGAACAUGUGCAGCACUGGCUCCAGUGUCAAGCUGUUUAUGCAACUUGGCACAUGCCUGGACCUACUGGAGUUGCCUGUGAUGUGAACUGCAAACUCUUUGAUGUAUGGUAAUCUUCUGCUUGGGAUCACUGCAUCGGCCCAAGAGACAGAAGCUCAGGAUGCAUGCCAGAAGAGCAUGAAGGUAUGAUUAAUUUAAUAAUGAUAAAAUGGAGAUUUCUUCUCCCCACUCUGACUAAAGAAAAAUAAUUAAAGCAGAUAAUGAGAAGAAGUGAUAAGAACAAACAGUGGUGUCUUGAACAUUAUGACAAAUUAUUUCCUUAUUUUAACUACUUUGAGUGGGGAGGAACAUAAAGCAGCAGUGAACUAGACUUAGAUAUAAUGGCUGCUGAUUUCUUGUCACAACUUCAGAAAAUAUUUGUGCUUGUUGGUGAGAGAAGGCAUUAGUGCUUGCAACUCAUUGCUGCCAUGUAGUUCAUACUCCAGGACUAAGUAUUAAUUUCUGAAGCAAGAUGAUUCUUGAUAAGGUAAGGUCAGCUUGAUAGUCAUCUGUAUUUUUUCCCUCUUUCGUUAACUUCUCUGGAGACCACGUAGCAUUUUCUGCUGUGAGCUGGAAGGUCACAGCUUGUUAAUUAUUGUGAUUACAGACUUCUGCUGACUCAGUGCAAGAAAUGCAAGAUGAAGGUAUGAAUUCAGCAGGGUGCAAAAGUUGAACUUGAUUUGAAUUAACACUAUACUGACCGUGUCCAGCUAUCUUAAAAACAACACUGACGUAAGAAGAAGGGGAUUCUUAAAAGUUAGCUUUUUUUUUUUUCUUGUGGAUGAGAGGGGAAUGUCAUAUGCGAAUGAAAAUAAAUUCUUAGGCUUAUGUAUAACCACCAUAGAGAAGAUAUCUAUCCUAGAAUUAAGCAUUAAGCAAUUAGUUUUACAGAGAGCCUUUUCUUCCUUUGACUGUCCUUUGUUGUUGUUGUUAUUGCUUACCGCAGAAGAACAAUAGUUUUUUUUUCCUAAACUGUGUUUUAAAAACAGCAGUAUCAUUUUUCUAGGGAAAAUUCUGACUCUUAAUAUUAAAAAAAAAAUUAAAAACAGGAAAAUAGAUAGUUUAAAAUCCGAUGCUGAUAAACUGUAAUAAAUACAAGCUUGAUAUCAUUGCAAUUCAUUGGAAAAGAAUGCAAGAAAGGGGUAUAGAGCUAAAUUCUAGAAUGGCAGCAUACUUAAACACUGAAAUUUAGAAACACCUGAGAUUUUGAGUGGAAAUAAAGAUUAUUUCACCUUGGCAAUUAAUAUUAGAUUAUGCUGAAAGGUAACAUAACAGUAUUUUUAACUGGUCUUGCUUUAUGAGUGGGACAGGAGGGAAUUUAUCACUAAAAUAAAAAGUUGUUUUUCUUGUCCUCUUCUAUUCAAGCAUAAUAUCGAUGUGAAUUUAGUACUUGUCAUGAGCGACACAAAUUCAAUCAGGAUCUGAAAAUGGAGUUGUAUUUCUUCUGUCUCAUUAAUAGAGUAAUAGAUUUUUCUACUCUUAACUAUGUGGGGAGAAUUCUCUUCUCCCUUAUGUCUUAUUUAUUUAUUUAUUUAUUGGUAAAUUUCUUUUUACUAUAGAAAAGUUAAGAUUGAAUUUCAUGUUGAAGAUGAAUUAUGGCCAUUCUCAUCAACUCCAAAAGUCAAUUUCAUAGUGAUUUAUUAGAUCUUAUACUGAACUUUAAUACUGAACUGAGUAUUCUUAGGCAAGCACUUGUAGUCUUGAGCACAGAAGGAAGGCCAUGUGUAAAGCCAGCUAAAGAUUUAUAUUUGUAGCUUCAGAUAUAUUCCCCACUCCAUAUGUGGGAUUUAAGGAGUUAAGGAAAAACAGGAAAGUAUUUGGAGAUGCACACUACGCCUAAACUCACACACAAGUGCAAUGUAGCAGAGUAAGAUUAUGCUGUUGCGGCAUUACUUCCUUGUGCUGAGAUUAGAGUAGUUGAUGAUUGUCAUAGUGUGAUGCACUUCCAGAAAAUCUGAAAUCUGUGAUAAUGGCUACUUUAUUAAGGAAGACGUGGAGCAAAUCUCCCCACUACAGGCUAAAUUGUGAUUUUGUAUUUUACAAAUGAAAAAUAACAUACUACAGGAUCUGCAAAUUCUUGCAAGGAAAUACCUGUACAUGUGAAUGCAAAACUUGCUUUGGAAGAAAUUACUGAAGAAAUUUGUUACAGAUUUGUAAGUUAUAGAUCAGACUGUUCUUUGAACCUAUUUUUUUUCCAGAGCCAAGUUUGCCUCAUAAAAUUUGUUUUUCUUGUUAUCAUAGUCCGGCAUAUCAAUCUAAUGUUUCUUCCAAUAGAAGAAGUGUGUGGUUACUGAGAUAUUUCUGUGUGGAAUAGAAGCUUUUGAAAAAAUCCCUACUCUUUUUUUUCAGGUUGUUUUCUGGAUGGCUGGUACAUGACACUCUAAGUACAAUAUGGGUGAAUACAUUUCUUUCUUCCUCCUUUCUCCAUUUCCUUUCUUCAUUUUUCUUCUUCCCCACUGGCCUUCCUUUCUUCCUUUAGGAGGACUAGAGAUCAAGGAAUUCUGAAACUUAGGAAACAUCAUAAAGUAACUUUUAUUUUACCCAUUCAGUAUCUUUACAACAGGCUACUCCUGCCUUCAGUGUGUUUCAGAUUCUUAAGGGAAUCCUUUUUCCUUUUUCUUUGAUAACAGGUUGAAUCUCGAAAUGUUAAUGUGCAUCGGACAGAAAAAUGGGCUUUGAAAAUGUUUGAUGUUUAGCUUACAGAGAAUUGGAGAACAGACUGGGGGGUGGUCAGAAGGUUAAUAGGCUGCCUCUCAUAGUGCUGAAGAAGGGAGCGUUAUUUUUUUUGCUAGAUAGACAAUAAAGGUUGUAACUCUUCUGCAAGUUCUACCAAUGAUUUUUCCAGCUUUCUGGCAGUGGAGUUGUUUAGAUACUCAGGGAGAAUAAAUAGUUUAAGCAGCUGGGAAUCUAAGUCAGAUUAUUGUUUUAUAGGAAUAUCAUAUAAAGAACAGCAUUCCCAUCUGCCCUGUUUGACUGUAGUUUAACGAAAGUAUAGCAGUCUUCCAAUUAAGGACUUGAAUAUAGUAUCCUGUAUUUCAAUGAACUUUUAACAUUCCCAGUGUUGUAAAUCUACACAAGACAGUGUAAGAUUAUGUACUAGCUUCUUUUUUGAGGAAACUGAACAGCAUAAAAAAUGGAUUUUACAGAAUUUUAAAAAAUCUGUAAGACGUUGUCAUGGUUUUGUGAUUUUUUGUUGUCAGUAUUCCACAUCAUAACAUCAUGUAAAGCACUGGCAGUUAAAGAGUUAAUGUCCUGGUUUCUGUAGACUGCCUUUUUUGGGUGUUUGGUUUUCGGAGGGGGAGGGGAGGAGCUGCACUCCCCAGGGGUCUUUGCUUCUGGAGGGGCUGGUGAAGCCACCUGGCAGACUGGGAGUUUGCUCUCUUCCUAUGCGGUGGAGAAGCACAUGGUCCCCCUGCAGCUUACGGUGUAAGAUUCUCAGCUUUGAACUCUCUCUGUUUUGUUUUAUUGGCCUCAAUUUCGAUAUCAUAUUUAGUAAAUUAACGUUCCUCCUUAGAUUGGUGCCACUGUUUUAUUUUAGACCCGUCUAUGGUUUUCUUACCCUUCUUCUUUUCCCUUUGUUUUCCCCAGGGCGUGGGUCUGCGGGUCCCCUGGCACAUUAGACACUGGACCGGUCCGGGCUGGCCCCUAAACCGCUGGAAGUUUUUUUUCUCCUUUCUCUCUUUUCCAGGCCUGUGGGCCUGUGGGCCUGCUGUCCCCCUGUCACAGACACAGAUCCAUAGAUAACGCCGUGUCAGAUGUUUAUCUAGAUGCAUGCCUAUGCACUGAAUGACGCUGAGAGAAAAGCAGAAAAUUCAGUUUUGAAGUUUUCAUGCAAAAAAAUUGUGUUACAGUUAAAAUAAGUGGAGCAGAAGUCCAUUGAGGGAGUAGGUAGGUUAAAACAGAAGCACUAUUUCUUCCAAUUUAAUGAAGCAGUUGAUGAUCAUCCAGAAUGUCAAAGCAUUUAAAAGCUCUUGGGGAAACCUUCAGGUGAAUCAAGAGAACUGUCUUAAAAGCACUUCAUCCCUGUACCUUCAUAGUUUAAUAGAAAAAGAAUAUUCUCUCAAUAAGUAUUUAUUUGAGUCCAUUUCUUUAUAGUGAGUGUAAGUAAAUACAGAUAUUAGUCUGCAAAAGGUAAAUACUGUAAAUAUAAUGUAAAUACAAAUACUGAUUGUUUUUCUGCAACCACUCCGUAUUACUCUAAACCAGUGCCUGUUUCACCUUUAGCUCUCCUGAGCAUAUGCUUCACAGCUGAAGUCUAGGCUGCCUUGCACUACGCAUAUCUAACUGUGAAAUUCUACAGGUAGCUCUGGAGUAUUUUAAAUUUAGUUUCUCAGAGUGAUGAUAGAUGCUGUCAAAGAUAAUUUGUCAGACUGACACUCUUGGCACAAUGGGUAGUUCUAGUGAAAAUAUUUGUAUAUUGGCUGAAGAGAAUACAAUUACCUGUAAGUCAUUUUGCAUAAAAGAUAAAAGGAAAGCAACUCUGACAUGCUUGAUAGAGGUUAGCAAACCAUUCAAAUCUAAUCUAAUUUUGUGAGUAGUUUCAUUCACGACACAAUUUUCUUAUAAUCGGAGAGAAAACGGAUGCUUAAAGUCAGGUAAUAUAAUUAAAUUGGUUGCAAGUAAAAUAUACUUCCCACUAUUCUACUUUUGGAAGCUCACAUUGCAUAUAACCAAUAAAAGUAUAUACCUGCUUUUAAUCCGUGCAAGAUGCAAUACAUUCAAUAAAGAUUUGGGGUUUCUCAGGGGAAUGAGACUUAGCUUUUCAAUUUUGAGGCAAGAGUGAAAUUGGCUUAAUAGAGGAUAUAGUUCAGUGAUACUUUAAGAUAGUCUUUAAAUAUUUAUCCAUUCAGAAAUGUAUCUAUUUAACCUGACAAUAGACAGAAGGAAGACUUCUUCCUUCCCAUGAUAUAACCUACUCUGGGGAGGAUUAAUUUUCUCUUUAUGUAUUUACAUGUUAAAGAAAAAAAGCUUGAGAUAGACCAGUUACUAUCUGUACACGUAACUGUGUUAGGAUGUAACAAAGGCCGCUCUGAAAGUAAUGCCUGCUGAUUUAUUAUGUUGACCCACAGGGUCAGGGGCAGAUGUUGGUGGUGUGGCAGUAGAUGUUGAACCUUCUCACCAAAAUUCUGUUACAUUUUGUUACCAUGCGACAGAUGGCAGCAGCAGUGCAGUCUGACAAAAUGACAUCUCACAUGAAAGUGCAGAUGAAGCAAAGGUGUGGAAUUGAAUUCUUCCAUGCAGAAAAAAAUUGCAUCCAUUGAUAUUCAUCAGUACUUGUUAAACAUUUAUGGAGACCAAACAGUGGAUGUAAGCACAGUGAAUUGGUAAGUGUUGCAUUUCAGCAAUGACUCUGUCGUAGGAGCUGUGAAGCAGUGGGUCAUCUCUACUGGUGCAGAUUUUUAGGAGAGUGUCAUGCAGGAUCUUGUUCAUCAUCAGUGAGAAAGCAGAGCUAAUGGUGGUGACUAUGUUGAAAAACAGUGUUUUGCAGCCAAGAAUUUGCUUUAUCAAAUAGUGUUAUUGUGUUCUUUGUAUCUGUUGUAAUUUCCAUGUAAAUAAAUAGGAGGCAUUACUUUCAGAGGGACCUAUGUAUUAAAAUGCAGAGGUAAUACAAAUAUAAUAGAAAUUUAAAGAGAAGUAUAGCACCUGAAGCUGUGAGUAAAAAUAAUGAGCUUGUUCCAGAGAUUAACUUAGACUCUAUUCCCUAAAUCACAGUCAAUGAAUAAUUCCUGCUCAAAUAGAUAGUAGGAGUUGUUAAUUCUUGUGGUAGACAGCUCAGUCCCCAGGUGGAGUUAAACACAACACCUCCUGUUCUGUAAAACUGCUUAUGCUAAUAACAGCCACGGGGAGUAAAACUAUUCUAAACUUGAACUUUCAUAGCAGGACUAGUGACUGUUCUAAACUACACACGCAGAAUCAAUGUGACCUUAUAUAUAUGUACACAGAUACACGUGUGCCACUAUAUAGUGGCAUAUACACUUACGACACUACCCUCUUGAAUAGUCUUUGUAGCAUAAGCUAUACAACCUGCUGCUAGCCCUGUGUGUGCUGUGGCUUUCUACUGUUUCAACAGGUUUUUUGUGUCCUCAAGUUAUCAGUAUGAGCAGAAUUCACCUCCCUUUCCUAUGCUAACUUCUCAGAAUGUAUUUCUAUUUUCUUCAGUAUGUUGUCUCCUAGAAAGAUUUUUCCAUCGAACUAUACAGGAACCCAUUCACAUGAAAACUCACACCAAAGAUGCCUUUUGGUAUCACCAAUCUGCACAACACUGUGAAAAUUAAUUGUAUAGCAUUGUCAAUUUACAUGAUCACUAGCAUUUUAUUAGCUCAAAAUUAAUCUCAUUUACUUCAUGAAAUCAUAGAAUCAUAGAAUACCCCAAGUUGGAAGAGACCCACAGGGAUCAUCAUCCUGGCUUCACACAGCAUCACCCAAAAAUCAGACCAUAUGUCUGAGAGAAUUGUCCAGAAGCUUCUUGAAGUCUGGGAGCUUGGAGAUGUGACCACUGCCCUGGCGAGGCUGUUCCAGUGCUCAACCACCAUUUCAUUGAGGAACCUCUUCCUGAUAUGCAGCCUCCUCUGUCACAGCUUUAUGCUGUUGUUCCCUUAGAUUAUAUUGCUGUCACUGUCACCAAAGAGAGGAGAUCAGCACCUGCUCCUCCGCUCAUGAGGAAUGUGUAGGCCAUGGUGAGGUCUCCAGUAAGUCUCCUCUAGGAUGAACAAACCAAGGGACUUUAGCCUCUCAUCAAAUGUUUUCUCCUCUAUAAUCUUCAUAAGCUUUGUAGCCCUCCUUCGGACACUCUCUAGUAGCUUUAUGUCCUUUUUGUAGUGCCUAAAACUGCACACAGUACUCAAAGUGAGGCCACACCAGUGCAGUGGUGUGGAAAAGCAUACUUGUAAACAUAAGCAUCUUUGCUGCAUUAUGACAAAAACUAUCAUGACUAAUAAAGUAAUAUGUACAAAUACAAUUAAAAAUGCUGUAAGGUUCUAUAAUAGAUGCAGAAUAAAAUUUCCCUCCCAGUUCCAUUUCUUAAAAGUGUAUCCCAAGUAUGUCCUCAUGAGACAUUAAUAGUGUUGAGAUGUUUCUGUCUUCAUGUUACUGUUUUAUUAGCCAGUAUGUUCUUUUUUUCUGUAUUAACAUGCAUGAGAUUACAUGUACAAUAAGUAUCCAAUUAUUUUACAGAGGUACAUAUUACCUAUCUUAUUGUUAGAUAGCUUGAGAUCACUGUCAUCUAAUUUAGUCCAGGGUCAUGUAGUGCUGUUCCUGGUCAUUACCUGCAAAAGAAAUGCAUAAUAAUGAUUAUCUUCUGGUGAUCUUAUAAUUACUGAUAAUUAUGAUUCUCAGUAACUUAAAGUGUUAACUAAGCAAGCAAGAUUUGGAUUUUUUUUUUCCCUGAAAUACAGAAAACAACACUGUAAAAACAAACAAACAAACAAACAAACAAAAAAACUCCACCAUUUUAGAUUUUAAAUAACAUCAUAAAACAAUGCAUUUACACCUAAAAUGGCAUCUGUUACUAUAUUCAGUGACUGCAGCUGCUUAAUAUAUUACAGAAUGGCCUAUAAAUAACAUUAUUUCAGAACAGAUAGAUGUGUGCAGUACCAAAACAGGAGCAUAUUUAUCUCUGUCCUAAGGCCAACAAUAGCUAAUCUUGCUGGUCACUGAUGCCAAAGUUACUUAAGGAGCAGUGUAGUGUAGUGAUUUUUGUGCCAGCCCAAAUCUGUGUCACUCCCACUGUUGGUAUUAGUGUGCAGGGAUCGUCGUCACAGCUUUAGUCACUUAUGAGCUGUUUAAUUCGGGACCUUAAAUGUCCUUCCUUCAUUAUAGAAAUAUUAUCUGUUUGCACAUUAAUGACCUUUGACUUUAUAAAGAUCUUGAUACUUUUAGUAGCUCAACAAAUAAAAGAUAGAAUUUUUUUAAUAUGUUUAAACAUGUUCAUUUAGAAAUUGAGAAUAAGAUAUUUUUUCUUUCCACAUGGCAUGACUACUUGUUUGUUAGUAAGAGUGUUCUAUGGCAGCAUGUUGUACAGUAUAAGCCAGUUUCAAAUCUGAUUAUGAAGUUUAACUAGCAUUACCACAAGCAGUAUUUUCUUUUAAUUUUUCAUGAGUAGUGCUCAGAGGUAAAGCAGUUUUAUAAGUUUAGUCAGUAGUUACCGAAGCUGAAAAUGUGUAGGUAGAAAUGCCACAGAGUCACCUGCCAAUCAGAGUGAAGUGGAGGAAAAAAAAAUAAAAAAAAAAAGAGCUUUGCAGUGUAGGAGCAGUCAAAAGGAUUAUGUCUUAAUAGUUUUCUUGGCAAAAGAGAAUCAUGUAAGAUAAGAAUCAAGUACUCUUCUCAUUUUAUGUUCAGGCAUUCAGAAACUCUGCUCAGCAUUUUGAGAACUAAGACUCCAUGAUCUAAGAAGGAACUGUAGACAUAGUUCUUCAUUUUGUACAGCAUAAAUCCAUUGUGUUUCCAUUUUCUACUUGUAAUAAAAUAAAGGUUCAGGGAAGUAGCAUAUAGAACUGUAAUUUACUCAGUGUUUUUUCUUUGUGUUUUGGAUAAUCUCUUAGGUUAGACAGAUAGCAAUGAUUAUAACAUGGCUGAGUAGAAACAGCAUUUCCCCUCUCUGACACUGAGAAAUGUUUAAGAAAAUCUUUGGAAUCUUGAUUGCUUCAUCCACACUUCCAUGUCAGACACCAUUCUGUGAGACUGCCCCUCUGGUGACAUCGGUUGCAUGGCAACAAAAUAUAGCAGAAUAUUGUUGGGAAGGUUCAAUCUCUACUGCCAUACUUCCAACUUCCAGUCUGAUUUUAUGGUCUAUUAUAUUAAAAUAAGAGGUAUUACUUUUGGAGCACCCCUUUGAGAUCAUCACAGAGUUCAGCAUGAACUUCAUUUACUCUAUUUUGAAAGCACCAUGCACUCUAGAAAUAAGUGUUUUAUUCAUGAUUAUACUUUUUAAAUAUCGUCAAAUUAUUAAUCUAUAUGUAGUCAAUUCAUAUGAAGUAAAAGUGUAAUUUUUGAUUCAGAUUUAUUGUUGGAAAUUAUUCAAUAAAUGCCUAAUGUUUAUGUUA
Numida meleagris (helmeted guineafowl) is the source of this 9787-nucleotide RNA transcript. It is a transcript of the gene named cadherin 18, with no coding region annotated. Lineage: Eukaryota; Metazoa; Chordata; Aves; Galliformes; Numididae. The transcript is spliced from 5 exons. The record is from RefSeq and is a predicted model, not a curated record.